AGUUAACUCAGCACGUUUUUGUAAUUUAAUGAACAGGAAAGACAACCUUAAGCAGUGUACGGUUCAACACAGGUAUGGGCAAAAGCGUUUAAGUAGCUGGGUCACAUGUUGGUUUACGCCUUUAUGUGAGGUAUACAGUAUUGUAUUCCAGCAGUGUUUUUGGGUGUCGUGGUAUAUGUGUCGCUUGGGGCCUAUCUGCUAAGCAGCAGCUUGAUUACUUUAGCUGGUUUAGUGCUGCAAAAUGUUUAGUAUUGGCCUAAGUCAGGGCUGAUCCUGUGUGAGUAAUUAAGCAUUAAUCAGGAGCAAUCGUUAGCUGAGGUAUAGUGUAGGAUAGAAACAUAGCUGAUCUUAUGGUGCUCCAGCAAUACUUGUGAGUCCAGGAGCAUAUAUUUCGCUUGGGCCCACCAGUUAAACAGCAGUUUACAGACAUGGCGCAAAGCCAAGCGUACUAGAAGUACAUUAGUUGCUUAAAUUCUGACUAAUUUUAGCUUGUGUACUCAUAUUAUACAAUUGCUGAACUCUGACUUUAGUCCCCCCCGUGCUCCCCUGGGUGAGCAGACCAGAAAACAAAAUAGAAAGCAAAAGAAGUAAAUUAUAUGUUCCAGUAUACAUUCGUGAGAGUUCAAUUGGGGCACAGAGAGCUG
Molecule: non-coding RNA, 644 nt
Organism: Pelobates cultripes (western spadefoot toad)
Lineage: Eukaryota; Metazoa; Chordata; Amphibia; Anura; Pelobatidae
Source: the annotation of a GenBank genome assembly